This is a long non-coding RNA of Sapajus apella (tufted capuchin), 1612 nucleotides long. RefSeq lists it as uncharacterized. The record is from RefSeq and is a predicted model, not a curated record. The transcript has 5 exons. NCBI's taxonomy places the organism in Eukaryota, Metazoa, Chordata, Mammalia, Primates, Cebidae.
ACAUUAGAGUAUGCUUCAUAAUAACAGCAUAAUUACUUUGAUUGUGGAUUCUUCUUUUAAAUAGAAAGGAUAACAUUUGUUCUUGACCGUUGGCCUAUUGGGUUUUAUUUGCGCAUUAGUGAAAUUUUUUGUAAAUUACUGUUUAAAAUAUUUUGCUUUUUAACUUGAACAUAUCCCCAUAUUUUGAAAUCACACAUUUUUCAAAUAGAGCUUAUACAAUCAAAUGCCAAGCAUCUCCAUUUUGACAUUGAUCUAAAAAUCAGUUUCAGUAGAUAUUAUAAACCAGAGUUCUCAAGAUUGCAUAGCAAGCCAAUAGAACAAUGGAAAUACUUUCAAGGAAGAGGAUUAUGACUUCAUAAUUAUUAUUGUUUAUGAAGAAAACUAUUUGUCUAUCUGCCUAGAGGAUGUAAUAACUUAUUCAAGAAGGGUAACGAAUUGCUGACAUAAUUUUGCUUAUUGUUUCUUCUCGAUGAGCUUAAAAAUUGCAUUAGGGUGAAUAACAUGCAAUUCUUAAUUAUAGGUCUGCAGAGGAACAGAAUGCGAAGAGCAUCUCAUGAUAUUCACAAACAGAUUAUUACUAAUCACUAAAGUACAGCAGUGUGUUGACAGUGAAUACAGAUCUAGUGACAUGCUACUGACUGUGGUUUCCAACUGAACAUCUUGGGAGGAUUUGGUUGUUUGGACCUCACCAGCUGAUACAAUGAAGGGUUGCUUGCUCACUCCCCAGAGGACGGAAACAACAGAACAUGAGACCAACAAACAACAACAGUAGUUAGUAUAAUCAUUAAGAGAAAAUACUGAACAAGCCUAUGCAUAUGCAACCCUAUAUGUUGGAGGGAGUGUAAAUUAGCUCAGCCACUGUGGAAAGCAGGUUUUAAGGAAGAAUAGUGCUGGCAUGUGCUUCUGGUGAGGACUCAGGAAGAUGACAAUCAUGUUGGAAGGCAAUUGGGAUCCACAAUGUCACAUGGAGAGCACAGCAGCAAGAAAGAGAGGGAGGAAAUGCCACACUUUUUAAAAUAACCAGAUCUCAGGUGAACUAACUUUGUUUCCUUGUCACUGUAGCCAGUGUCAAAAUUAAGAAGUUGCUUUGCUUGUUCAACCCAUCUCUUCCAGUGGGUGCAUGAGCCUCAUUUAGGCUGAGAGAAAGAAAAACUCAUUCACCCCCUAAAAUGCAACCAGUGAUUAGGAAUUUGGAGGGAAAGUGCCUGCAUGACUGCUACUACUCCUUAUUUCUUUUGCUCUUAAUCAAAAGGUCUCUAUAGACAGGUAGGCAAAUAGGAUUUCUAGCAAUGUCCCAUGGUAGGAAGUCCUUCUAUACUGAAAAUUUUAGAAAUCUCACAGGAAGCUUUAUAGUAAGAAAUCAUAGAGAAUUGAGUAAUAAUCUUUAAGUUCCAAAUUUAAUGGGGUUUCCUUUAGGGAAAACAAACUUUUAUUCACACAUGUUAGAAGUCAUUUAUGCAUAAAAUAUCUCUGAUAUGAUAUAUAAGACACUGGUAAAGCUGAUUGCCUUGGGGAGAUGGUUAGGCAUGUGAAGGGAACAUAUAAUUGAAAACAUUCCCCGCCACUAAAAUAUUUUUAAUAUACAUAUAUAUAUAUAAUUUAUAUUAUAUAU